GAUGAACGCUGGCGGCGUGCUUAACACAUGCAAGUCGAGCGAAGCACCUUGACGGAUUUUUUCGGAAUGAAGUUUUGGUGACUGAGCGGCGGACGGGUGAGUAACGCGUGGGUAACCUGCCUCAUACAGGGGGAUAACAGUUGGAAACGGCUGCUAAUACCGCAUAAGCGCACAGUACCGCAUGGUACGGUGUGAAAAACUCCGGUGGUAUGAGAUGGACCCGCGUCUGAUUAGGUAGUUGGUGGGGUAACGGCCUACCAAGCCGACGAUCAGUAGCCGACCUGAGAGGGUGACCGGCCACAUUGGGACUGAGACACGGCCCAAACUCCUACGGGAGGCAGCAGUGGGGAAUAUUGCACAAUGGGGGAAACCCUGAUGCAGCGACGCCGCGUGAGCGAUGAAGUAUUUCGGUAUGUAAAGCUCUAUCAGCAGGGAAGAAAAUGACGG
Molecule: ribosomal RNA, 447 nt
Filed under: uncultured bacterium
Lineage: Bacteria
Description: bacterial SSU rRNA
Rfam family: Bacterial small subunit ribosomal RNA
Source: RNAcentral